This is a long non-coding RNA of Salvia miltiorrhiza (redroot sage), 731 nucleotides long. RefSeq lists it as uncharacterized. The transcript has 2 exons. Lineage: Eukaryota; Viridiplantae; Streptophyta; Magnoliopsida; Lamiales; Lamiaceae. The record is from RefSeq and is a predicted model, not a curated record.
UUUAAAUUUUUUGGAGCCCAAAUUAUUGUUUUGUUUCUCUAUAAAUAGCAGCUCAUUAGCUGCUAACUCACACUUGCAGAGCCCAAAUUCACUCUACAAACUCUCUCUCUCUAUUUUAUGGUUUUUAUUCUCUCCCUCUGUAUUUUAUGGUCUUUAUGUUUCUAUGUCGUACUCUCAUUUUUUGCAGUUUAGUUCUUCUAUUUCUUUUUUUUUUUGUUUUUAUGUUUAUAUGUAAGAUACUAAGAGAUUAUUACAACAAUUAUUUCUAAUUUAUACAUGAAGAGGCUGAUAUUUUUCUGAAUUUUUCUUUCAAGAUGAAGAUGAAGAUCUGUAUCUAUCAAUAGAGCAUGGAAGUGGUUAUCUCUUGGAUCUGCAAAAGCAACCAAAAAAAUGAAUUUAGUGUAUAUUUUAAUGAUCAGGAACUCUACUAUUGUAUAUGUGAACUUUUUCUUCAUACCCACAAAGGAAUUGGUUUUUUUUCUGUUAUUUUUCUGCUAAAACAAUUUUUUACUUAUUUUCAAGCAUCAUCAAUAGACUAAUCCGAGAAUCAGCUCAAAUUUUCAAAGAAAAAAACGAUAAUCAGUUUAAAUUCUUUUAAAUCAAAAAUGCAAAUAAAGGAAAAAAAAAAGUGCAGUUGAAAUUCAUCAAAGAUGCAAAUAAAGUAAAAAAAAAGUGAAAAUAGGAAAGAACAUAAAAUUAUGCGGAAAAAAAUAAAGAUGUUCAUAGAGAUC